Molecule: ribosomal RNA, 253 nt
Filed under: uncultured bacterium
Lineage: Bacteria
Description: partial 16S ribosomal RNA
Rfam family: Bacterial small subunit ribosomal RNA
Source: RNAcentral
UACGAAGGGUGCAAACGUUGCUCGGAAUCAUUGGGCGUAAAGCGCACGUAGGCGGCCCGCUACGUCGGAUGUGAAAUCCCUCGGCUCAACCAAGGAAGUGCAUUCGAAACUGGCAGGCUUGAGUACCAAAGAGGAUCGCGGAAUUCCCGGUGUAGAGGUGAAAUUCGUAGAUAUCGGGAGGAACACCAGUGGCGAAGGCGGCGAUCUGGGUGGUUACUGACGCUGAGGUGCGAAAGCGUGGGGAGCAAACAGG